ACGGGGCGCAGCAGGCGCGAAAACUUUGCAAUGCGGGAAACCGUGACAAGGGAACUCCGAGUGCCCGUAAAUUCGGGCUGUCCAUCAGUGUAAAUAACUGGUGAAGAAAGGGCCGGGCAAGACCGGUGCCAGCCGCCGCGGUAAUACCGGCGGCUCGAGUGGUGGCCACUAUUACUGGGCUUAAAGCGUCCGUAGCUGGGUUGUUAAGUCUCCUGAGAAAUCUGCCGGCUUAACCGUCAGGCGUUCAGGAGAUACUGGCAAUCUCGGGACUGGGGGAGGUGAGAGGUACUCCGGGGGUAGGAGUGAAAUCCUGUAAUCCUCGGGGGACCACCUGUGGCGAAGGCGUCUCACCAGAACAGCUCCGACAGUGAGGGACGAAAGCUGGGGGAGCAAACCGGAUUAGAUACCCGGGUAGUCCCAGCUGUAAACGAUGCGCGUUAGGUGUGUCGGUAACCACGAGUUACCGAGGUGCCGUAGGGAAACUGCUAAACGCGCCGCCUGGGAAGUACGGUCGCAAGGCUGAAACUUAAAGGAAUUGGCGGGGGAGCAC
RNAcentral lists this ribosomal RNA (550 nucleotides) under uncultured archaeon. Its description in RNAcentral is "bacterial SSU rRNA". It matches the Rfam family "Archaeal small subunit ribosomal RNA", at positions 325 to 879 of the family's 1478-position model. The record is from RNAcentral.